UACGUAGGGUGCGAGCGUUACUCGGAAUUACUGGGCGUAAAGCGUGCGCAGGCGGUUCGUUGUGUCGGCGGUGAAAGCCCCGGGCUUAACCUGGGAACGGCCGUCGAAACUGGCGAACUGGAGUGUGGCAGAGGGGGGUGGAAUUCCGCGUGUAGCAGUGAAAUGCGUAGAGAUGCGGAGGAACACCGAUGGCGAAGGCAGCCCCCUGGGCUGACACUGACGCUCAGGCACGAGAGCGUGGGGAGCAAACAGG
Molecule: ribosomal RNA, 253 nt
Filed under: uncultured bacterium
Lineage: Bacteria
Description: partial 16S ribosomal RNA
Rfam family: Bacterial small subunit ribosomal RNA
Source: RNAcentral